GAUGAACGCUGGCGGCGUGCCUAAUACAUGCAAGUAGAACGCUGAAGGAGGAGCUUGCUCUUCUGGAUGAGUUGCGAACGGGUGAGUAACGCGUAGGUAACCUGCCUGGUAGCGGGGGAUAACUAUUGGAAACGAUAGCUAAUACCGCAUGACAACAGUUAUUGCAUGAUAACUGUUUAAAAGGGGCAACUGCUCCACUACCAGAUGGACCUGCGUUGUAUUAGCUAGUUGGUGAGGUAACGGCUCACCAAGGCGACGAUACAUAGCCGACCUGAGAGGGUAAUCGGCCACACUGGGACUGAGACACGGCCCAGACUCCUACGGGAGGCAGCAGUAGGGAAUCUUCGGCAAUGGACGGAAGUCUGACCGAGCAACGCCGCGUGAGUGAAGAAGGUUUUCGGAUCGUAAAGCUCGGUUGUAAGAGAAGAACGAGUGUGAGAGUGGAAAGUUCACACUGUGACGGUAUCUUACCAGAAAGGGACGGCUAACUACGUG
Molecule: ribosomal RNA, 495 nt
Filed under: uncultured bacterium
Lineage: Bacteria
Description: partial 16S ribosomal RNA
Rfam family: Bacterial small subunit ribosomal RNA
Source: RNAcentral